CCAAGAAGUAUUAGAUGUGGCUGAUCGUCAAGACAGUGAUAAGCGCCGUACAACUAACGGCAGGCCUCAAGAGACGAUUAACGUUAACCUGCGUGCGUAACCUUGUGGAAAAACUUAUUGUUGCCAACGCCUUUUGUUGUAAACGAAUGUUGUAAACAAAAGUGUAGUGGUAAACAAAAGUACUAAAAAAGUGUCUUACGGAGCAUGUGAGCAAUGAAAUUACCCAUUUAUUUGGACUAUUC
Molecule: small RNA, 242 nt
Filed under: Xenorhabdus szentirmaii DSM 16338
Lineage: Bacteria; Pseudomonadati; Pseudomonadota; Gammaproteobacteria; Enterobacterales; Morganellaceae
Description: IscS-1 ICR thermometer
Rfam family: IscS-1 ICR thermometer
About the family: Imprinting control region from upstream of iscS-1 (cysteine desulfurase).
Source: Rfam by way of RNAcentral